This 482-nucleotide ribosomal RNA is filed under the name uncultured bacterium. RNAcentral describes it as "partial 16S ribosomal RNA". It matches the Rfam family "Bacterial small subunit ribosomal RNA", at positions 30 to 507 of the family's 1533-position model. The record is from RNAcentral.
AUUGAACGCUGGCGGCAUGCCUUACACAUGCGAGUCGAACGGUAACAGGUCUUCGGAUGCUGACGAGUGGCGAACGGGUGAGUAAUACAUCGGAACGUGCCCAGACGUGGGGGAUAACGAGGCGAAAGCUUUGCUAAUACCGCAUACGAUCUAAGGAUGAAAGCAGGGGACCGCAAGGCCUUGCGCGUUUGGAGCGGCCGAUGGCAGAUUAGGGAGUUGGUGGGAUAAAAGCUUACCAAGCCGACGAUCUGUAGCUGGUCUGAGAGGACGACCAGCCACACUGGGACUGAGACACGGCCCAGACUCCUACGGGAGGCAGCAGUGGGGAAUUUUGGACAAUGGGCGAAAGCCUGAUCCAGCAAUGCCGCGUGCAGGAUGAAGGCCUUCGGGUUGUAAACUGCUUUUGUACGGAACGAAAAGGCUCUGGCUAAUACCUGGGGCACAUGACGGUACCGUAAGAAUAAGCACCGGCUAACUACGUG